GAGCACGUAGGUGGGUUUGUAAGUCAGAUGUGAAAGCCUUCUGUUCAACGGAAGAAUUGCAUCUGAAACUACAAACCUUGAGUGUAGGAGGGGAGAAUGGAACUUCUGGUGGAGCGGUGAAAUGCGUAGAUAUCAGAAGGAACGCCGGCGGCGAAAGCGAUUCUCUGGCCUAUUACUGACACUCAGUGUGCGAAAGCUAGGGGAGCAAACGGGAUUAGAUACCCCGGUAGUCCUAGCCGUAAACGAUGGGCACUAAGUAGAGGGGUUUU
This 269-nucleotide ribosomal RNA is filed under the name uncultured anaerobic ammonium-oxidizing bacterium. RNAcentral's name for it is "partial 16S ribosomal RNA". It matches the Rfam family "Bacterial small subunit ribosomal RNA", at positions 565 to 832 of the family's 1533-position model. The record is from RNAcentral.